Molecule: transfer RNA, 79 nt
Filed under: Bacillota bacterium
Lineage: Bacteria; Bacillati; Bacillota
Also listed under: 6 other names
Description: Firmicutes bacterium (hot springs metagenome) tRNA-Glu
Rfam family: tRNA
About the family: Transfer RNA (tRNA) molecules are approximately 80 nucleotides in length. Their secondary structure includes four short double-helical elements and three loops (D, anti-codon, and T loops).
Source: RNAcentral
GGCCCCGUCGUCUAGCCCGGUUCAGGACGCCGGCCUCUCAAGCCGGAGGUCGCGGGUUCAAAUCCCGCCGGGGCCACCA